This is a long non-coding RNA of Dendrobium catenatum, 949 nucleotides long. RefSeq lists it as uncharacterized. Lineage: Eukaryota; Viridiplantae; Streptophyta; Magnoliopsida; Asparagales; Orchidaceae. The record is from RefSeq and is a predicted model, not a curated record. The transcript is spliced from 2 exons.
CGCCGAAGACUUAAUGCAGUUUUCCUUCUUCCUCCGGAUCUAAAGACCGCGAGAGGUCUCUCAGAUCCAGAAGAAGCCUCGAUCGGGGCACUUAUUUUUUUCUCGCACUCCAGAUCUCCUUCACGCCAGGACGAGGCCGGCCUUCCUCUCUCGUUUUUUUUCUCUCUGCUAUUUGGACACAAAGAGGACGGAACUCCCUAACCCCCGGCUUCGGCUCUCUCAUUCGCGAAUCCAGGAGAAAGAACGAAGCUUCCGCCUCCCUCCCUCUCCUUGUCGUCUCUGGUUCGCGAGAUACCCGACGCCGGACCACCUCUGCCUCCCACGUUUGAAACCGCCGGUCUCUCUCCGUUGGCAAGGUGAGCUCCUACCCUUCCUUUUCUUAUCCUACUCCCUCUUCUUCCUUCUUCUUAUUAUUCUUUUCCCCUUCUUCUUCUUAUCCUUACAAACUUUAUUUUUCUUAUACGAUUGAUAACUUCCCCACUCUCAUAACCUAUAAGAGGAAACUCUUCUCUCGAAUUCAUGACAAAGGUAGAGACGAACAGCUUAUAAUUCUACCGAGUUUUUGCAAAGUGGUAUAGAGCUCGAAAUGUUCAUCUCCGGAAGCUCUUUUGAGUCCCUUAGGAAUGUGAUGAGUGGAACCGACCGCUCGCUGCCUUUCCUUCUGGACGGCCUCGUCGUACUCCCAGAUUGUGGUCACUCAAUUGGCCUGGCAUCAUCCUGCACCCUACAGAAUGUCCUCGUGGUCUUGUCCGAUGGCAACUGCGGGAACUUCCUGUGGCUUCCUUCGGGCACAUGAGCUUUUCUUAUGACUUACUCUUUGCCUGGAGUUGUCGGUUCGAGCCACACCUGAAUCCGGACCGCCUCGCGUUCUUUUGUGUUUGUUCUGUUGUCUUUUUUAUAUAUUUUGUUACAUCUUUCAAUUUAUUUUAUAAAGUUUUUUUUUGUUCUU